Molecule: ribosomal RNA, 253 nt
Filed under: uncultured bacterium
Lineage: Bacteria
Description: partial 16S ribosomal RNA
Rfam family: Bacterial small subunit ribosomal RNA
Source: RNAcentral
UACGUAGGGGGCUAGCGUUGUCCGGAAUCAUUGGGCGUAAAGCGCGUGUAGGCGGCCCGGUAAGUCCGCUGUGAAAGUCCAGGGCUCAACCCUGGGAUGCCGGUGGAUACUGUCGGGCUCGAGUCCGGAAGAGGCGAGUGGAAUUCCUGGUGUAGCGGUGAAAUGCGCAGAUAUCAGGAGGAACACCAAUGGCGAAGGCAGCUCGCUGGGACGUGACUGACGCUGAGACGCGAAAGCCAGGGGAGCGAACGGG